RNAcentral lists this transfer RNA (72 nucleotides) under Bos taurus (domestic cattle). It matches the Rfam family "tRNA". From Rfam's summary of the family: Transfer RNA (tRNA) molecules are approximately 80 nucleotides in length. Their secondary structure includes four short double-helical elements and three loops (D, anti-codon, and T loops). RNAcentral also lists the same sequence under 2 other names. The record is from Rfam by way of RNAcentral. Lineage: Eukaryota; Metazoa; Chordata; Mammalia; Artiodactyla; Bovidae.
UCCCAGGUGGCUCAGCUGGUUAAGAGUCCGCCUGCAAUGCGGGAGACCUGGGUUCGAUCCCUGGGUUGGGAA